CAAAACUUGGAAAUCUUCAAAUCAUCUCAAGAAUAUUCAAGGGUUUGUACAUAUAGGCAGCCAUGUGAGAAGGAGUAGGGUAUCAAUGAUUAAUCUGUCAAAGUUCAUCUUACGGUUAUUUAGUGGAUUGAUUCUUCUAUUCAUCUUAUCUCUCCAAUCUUCUCUAAUUUUCUAUCAUUUUCCCCACCUCGGUUUUGUUUUUUAUUCAUUUAUUUGGCUACUAUUCAGUUGACUUCAAUUGAGUUGAAUUUCCGUUUAGUUGCGGUUAAGGAGGAGCUGGAGCUAGAGUCCAAACUGUGACAAAUAGUGAUAUGGUGAUUUAAGGUGUCAAGGAAAAAGAACGAGAGGAUGAAAGUGAAUCUGAAGACAAUGAACUCAACGAGGUAAGGUUACUUCUGUAUUUUUGUCUUUGUAACCUUCUGUUGCAUUGUCAUAUCGAGUUUAUGGAAAUUAGCUUUUGUCUAUUGGAAUAUAGUGAGUCAGUGACCUCUCUGGAGUAAUGAAAUUUAUGUUAGUUGAUUUCUUGUGCUAUUACCCGAAAAAUUGAAUAAUGAUAUGUUUCUGGUCAAAAGAAAUUAGGAGUCUUGUAUAUUUUGUGUAUUGAGAAAUGCAUAUUGCUUUCUGAUAUAUGUUUGUGUAUAUCUGAAAUUUGACACUGGACAACUCACGUAGCUUUGGUUAUGCAUUAGGUGCAAAUUCUGGACACCAAAGAAGCCUUUUUAAUAUGUAUUUAUUGUACUUAAUUCUGGAUACAGAGAAAGAUUGAUCCCAAUGGCCAAGGACGUAUAUACAAGGAUGUUUUGUUUUGCAUUUUUAUAAAGAUUCUUGUAGAAUUUGUCUUUAUCUAUGCCGUCAGAAUAUGCAAGUGGACUGCAUGCUCUAUUUAUGAAAGAUAUAUUAGGUACACAUUAUUGAAGAUUACUAAAUAUGACAAUGAAAAUAUGACAAUGAAUGUGAUUUGUUACUCCUUCACUUCCUCUUUAAUCCUAAGUGCAAUUCAAUGUACCAAAUGUAUCAUAACUGU
Molecule: long non-coding RNA, 1024 nt
Filed under: Olea europaea (common olive)
Lineage: Eukaryota; Viridiplantae; Streptophyta; Magnoliopsida; Lamiales; Oleaceae
Description: long non-coding RNA (OEUR_LNC008506)
Source: RNAcentral